UAAUACGUAGGGUGCGAGCGUUAAUCGGAAUUACUGGGCGUAAAGCGUGCGCAGGCGGCUCACUAAGACAGAUGUGAAAUCCCCGGGCUUAACCUGGGAACUGCGUUUGUGACUGGUGGGCUUGAGUGCGGCAGAGGGGGGUGGAAUUCCACGUGUAGCAGUGAAAUGCGUAGAGAUGUGGAGGAACACCGAUGGCGAAGGCAGCCCCCUGGGUCGACACUGACGCUCAUGCACGAAAGCGUGGGGAGCAAACAGGAUUAGAUACCCUGGUAGUCCACGCCCUAAACGAUGCGAACUAGGUGUUGGGGAAGGAGACUUCUUUAGUACCGUAGCUAACGCGUGAAGUUCGCCGCCUGGGGAGUACGGUCGCAAGAUUAAAACUCAAAGGAAUUGACGG
Molecule: ribosomal RNA, 397 nt
Filed under: bacterium enrichment culture
Lineage: Bacteria
Description: bacterial SSU rRNA
Rfam family: Bacterial small subunit ribosomal RNA
Source: RNAcentral